UACAAAUCUGAAUAUGCCUUAUUUGUUUUAGGCCUCGUCUGUAAGAAAUCAAAGGAGGCCAGGAGGAAAGUAAAAUGCGCAGAUGGAUUUUGGUGGCUCAAUGCUGUACAGAACCUGCCCCCGAAUUCCAGACCCAGGAACUCCUUCCAAAGUACCAUGCUAAGCAUUCUGAACCCAGCCAGCAUGGAUGCUCCUUUUUUGCUGCAUUGACGCUCUGCACCUCCCAUGAGCACUGGUUGCCAAGUCACUCUGUCUCUUUUAAUGCCAGCCAUGAGAAGCAUGCACAAUUAUACUAAGCAAAGUGUCUCUCUGAGAAGCACUUGAAGAUCAGGCUCACAGACUAUUGAAAAGUGUGAUGAUUAACUUUAUGUAUCAGUUUGAUUUGGCUUAGUGAUUCCUAGGUAGCUGAUAAAACAUUUAUGCAUGUGUCUGUAAGGAGGUUCUGGAAGACAGAAGCAUCUGGAAGAGAGUGAAAUUCUGUCUGUCUGUCUCCUUCUGAGAUACAAUGUUCAUCUUCUCAUUCUUGCUCUUGGAGCUUGGAUCGUGUUUUGAACUGAAGUAGCCCUGAUUCUCAGGUUUUUUGACUCAGAAUGAAUUCUGCAUUAUACUACUGGCUUUCUUCAUCUUGAAGUUUGAACAGGGCAUAUUUGAAGGCUUCUUGGACUUCAUAAUUUUGUAAGGCAGUUUCCAUAAUAAAUCUCUUAUAAUCUCA
RNAcentral lists this long non-coding RNA (712 nucleotides) under Chinchilla lanigera (long-tailed chinchilla). Its description in RNAcentral is "lncRNA (ENSCLAG00000026107.1)". The record is from RNAcentral. Lineage: Eukaryota; Metazoa; Chordata; Mammalia; Rodentia; Chinchillidae.